GAAGACCCAAGACCUCCCUCCCCGCUGGGCAGAAGCCCCUACCCCAUCACUCGGCUGCAAGGCAGAGGUCCCAAGCUCUCCCCGCACCCCCAGUCUGGCAUCCUGAAUACUGAAGGAUAUGGCAGUCUUGAAGAGCCACAGCUAACAUCCAGAGCGAGUGAAGGACCCGCCGCCGAAGUGCCGCCGAAGAUCCAGUAGGGAACCGCACGGAGGAGACCACUUGCAUUACUACAAAAGACUAAAGUUAUCAUAGUAUCCUGACCUGAAGAUUCUAAUUAUUUCUUGAGAUAUCAGCCAGACACAAACUGUUAAUAGAGCUUGAGGACUCAAACAGAGCUGAAGAAUUCACAUCUAAUGCCAAUUUUAACUUGAUACUUAUCAAAGACGUUUAUAUAUGUGUAUUAUCCAGGUGAUGAUCUGCUAAUUGUAAACUAACCAGAAAAGUGUAUUUGUACUAAUGAAAACAUAUGUGUAACAACUUAACUGCGGGUUU
Mauremys reevesii (Reeves's turtle) is the source of this 493-nucleotide long non-coding RNA. RefSeq lists it as uncharacterized. The record is from RefSeq and is a predicted model, not a curated record. NCBI's taxonomy places the organism in Eukaryota, Metazoa, Chordata, Testudines, Geoemydidae. The transcript is spliced from 3 exons.